CAAUCCCCUGCAUCUGCCACGGAAGAACAGAGAUCCCAACUAUCCAACCAUUCCCUUUCUUCACGGACAACUUCCAUGCGUUCCCAGCUCCCCUGUUCCAAUCUCAUCCUUCCGAGUCCCUAGCAGUGAGCUUCUCCCACGAAAUGCUCCACGUCCCAGCUUCAUCCCAUCCGCUAUCAUCUCCCAGCUCACGCGUUUCUUUUCCUCCACGUCCUUCCCAACUCCCGUGUUCCAAAGUCCACAGCCGGAACAGAGCCGAGACCCACGGACCAGCAUUUCGCAUCUCCCCUUGCAUCCCGACUCGGCCACACCCUCAACGUCUUCCACUAGAUCCCAGUCAAAAUAAGCUUUCCAGAUUUCCUAUCAUCUUUAUCCAAAGCCGAGACCCAUUCCCUGUUUCUGGAUCAUCUCCCAACCGGAUCCCCAGCUCCUUAUCCCACGGAUCAACCAAACUCCCGGAUUAAUCCCAGCGUCCAAGCCAAUCUAUUCAACAUCCUCAUCUCCCACGAAUCAAACCAACUUUCCUCCCAGCAUCUAGAUAUUCCGUUGCCAGCCGCCUCCAAUCCGCAACAAAUCUUCUCCACGCCUCCCC
RNAcentral lists this long non-coding RNA (592 nucleotides) under Phoenix dactylifera (date palm). RNAcentral describes it as "long non-coding RNA (PDAC_LNC021033)". Lineage: Eukaryota; Viridiplantae; Streptophyta; Magnoliopsida; Arecales; Arecaceae. The record is from RNAcentral.